AUGAUACUUUGGAGUGCCUUGGCAGUCAAUCAGCCUAUCUGCAACAAGCUAUCUUCUGAGGACCUCCAUGUUCAUUAUCUUGACUCUUUCCAACUUCAACACUAUGUGGUAGAGGAAACAGUUUCAAGAAAAGAAAAGAUCUACCUGAGAAAUGUCCUGAGAGUAAUGAAGAAAAACAAAGGCCUCGAAGUCAGUAAACACCAGGUUCAUUAUCAGGAAACUGGAUCAGAAGUGGAGCAGCUGGGACUCAAAUCAGCAUUGCUACAUGAAAUGUCUGCAUCACAAGAAGGCAGCCUAACCCACCGCACCCAAUAACUUUUACUGUUUUAUAGCUAGUUUUGAUUCAUAAUCUCAAAUGAACAAUUAAAAAUAUGAAAUGAUUGGGUUUUUAUCAAUAGUUAGACCAGAUUUUCUUUGUGUCUCCUUCUCCUUUUAUGCACAAAAAGAAAAUUAACAUUUAAUGAUGUCUUUUGUUCUCUACUCUUUGUAUAGUUAAUAGAGUCUUUUGUUUUCAACUCUAAACUGUCUCCAAAGCAUUCUAUAUAUUAAUUUUGCAGAAAGGUUUGUGGAUUUGUAUUAUAUAUGUUGUACAUAUCUUAAAAGUUUUUGACACCUAGUUUUAUUUUAACAUUUAUCCUAUUAAAAAGUCUUGGUUUUAUGUGUUAAAUCUCUUUCUACUUAUGGCUUCUUUUGUGUCAGACAGUACUGCUCUACCUCAAAAUUAAUUCAAUUUCUUUAGUAAUCUUAAAAUUUCAUUCCUACUCUAUAUUAAACACAUCUAGAAUUUAUCUUAUAUGGUAAAAUAGGGAAUCUAAGUUAUUAUUUCCUGAAUGUCAGCCAGUUAUCAGUAUAAAUUAUGAACUAAUCAUUUUUACCAUAGCUUUAAGAUGUCAAUUUUUAAAAAUACUCAAUUCACAUAUAUAUUCAUGAAUACAUAUGAAUUCAGUAAACAUAUACACAUCUGAACUUGCUUCUAGGAAUUUUUUCCAGUUUCAUUGGUAUAUACAUUAACAUUGAGUAUAGUACUUCUUAAUGACUGUUAAAUAAAAUUAAUGUAUGUAUUAAUUAUUAAAUUUUU
RNAcentral lists this long non-coding RNA (1078 nucleotides) under Oryctolagus cuniculus (rabbit). RNAcentral describes it as "lncRNA (ENSOCUG00000037796.1)". The record is from RNAcentral. Lineage: Eukaryota; Metazoa; Chordata; Mammalia; Lagomorpha; Leporidae.